AGCGAACGCUGGCGGCAGGCUUAACACAUGCAAGUCGAACGCAUCCUUCGGGGUGAGUGGCAGACGGGUGAGUAACACGUGGGAACGUACCUUUUUGUUCGGAAUAACUCAGGGAAACUUGAGCUAAUACCGGAUACGCCCUUAGGGGGAAAGAUUUAUCGCAGAAAGAUCGGCCCGCGUCUGAUUAGCUAGUUGGUGAGGUAAAGGCUCACCAAGGCGACGAUCAGUAGCUGGUCUGAGAGGAUGAGCAGCCACACUGGGACUGAGUCACGGCCGAGACUCCUACGUGAGGCAGCAGUGGGGAAUAUUGGACGAUGGGCGCAAGCCUGAUCCAGCCAUGCCGCGUGAGUGAUGAAGGCCCUAGGGUUGUAAAGCUCUUUCGGCGGGGACGAUAAUGACGGUACCCGCAGAAGAAGCCCCGGCUAACUUCGUGCCAGCCGCCGCCGUAA
Molecule: ribosomal RNA, 449 nt
Filed under: uncultured bacterium
Lineage: Bacteria
Description: partial 16S ribosomal RNA
Rfam family: Bacterial small subunit ribosomal RNA
Source: RNAcentral